AUUGAACGCUGGCGGCAUGCCUUACACAUGCAAGUCGAACGGCAGCACGGGAGCUUGCUCCUGGUGGCGAGUGGCGAACGGGUGAGUAAUACAUCGGAACGUACCCAGUAGUGGGGGAUAACGCACCGAAAGGUGCGCUAAUACCGCAUACGACCUACGGGGGAAAGCGGGGGACCGUAAGGCCUCGCGCUAUUGGAGCGGCCGAUGUACGAUGAGCAAGUUGGCGGGGUAAUAGCCCACCAAGGCGACGAUCAGAAGCUGGUCUGAGAGGACGAGACGCGACACUGGGCGUUGGACACCGCCCAGACUCCUACGGGAGGCAGCAGUGGGGAAUUUUGGACAAUGGGGGCAACCCUGAUCCAGCAAUGCCGCGUGUGCGAAGAAGGCCUUCGGGUUGUAAAGCACUUUUGUCAGGGAAGAAAUCUUUCAGGCUAAUACCCUUGGAAGGAUGACGGUACCUGAAGAAUAAGCACCGGCUAACUACGUGCCAGCCGCCGCAGUAA
Molecule: ribosomal RNA, 503 nt
Filed under: uncultured bacterium
Lineage: Bacteria
Description: partial 16S ribosomal RNA
Rfam family: Bacterial small subunit ribosomal RNA
Source: RNAcentral